This 166-nucleotide ribosomal RNA is filed under the name Chloropyron maritimum subsp. canescens. RNAcentral describes it as "5.8S ribosomal RNA". It matches the Rfam family "5.8S ribosomal RNA". Rfam says of the family: 5.8S ribosomal RNA (5.8S rRNA) is a component of the large subunit of the eukaryotic ribosome. It is transcribed by RNA polymerase I as part of the 45S precursor that also contains 18S and 28S rRNA. The record is from RNAcentral. Lineage: Eukaryota; Viridiplantae; Streptophyta; Magnoliopsida; Lamiales; Orobanchaceae.
CAUAACGACUCUCGGCAACGGAUAUCUUGGCUCUCGCAUCGAUGAAGAACGUAGCGAAAUGCGAUACUUGGUGUGAAUUGCAGAAUCCCGUGAACCAUCGAGUCUUUGAACGCAAGUUGCGCCCGAAGCCUCACGGCCGAGGGCACGCCUGCCUGGGCGUCACGAA